AAAAGGAAGGGAAUUCUGAUACAUGCUACAAUAUCGAUGGACCUUGAGAACAUUCUGCUAAGGGAAAUAAAUCAGUCACAAAAAGAUAAGUACUGUAUGACUCCACUUCUAUGAGGUCCCUAGAGUAGUCAAAGUCAUAGAGACAGAAAAUAGAAUGGAGGCUGGAAAGGGGAG
Phyllostomus discolor (pale spear-nosed bat) is the source of this 174-nucleotide long non-coding RNA. RefSeq lists it as uncharacterized. Lineage: Eukaryota; Metazoa; Chordata; Mammalia; Chiroptera; Phyllostomidae. The record is from RefSeq and is a predicted model, not a curated record. The transcript is spliced from 3 exons.